CUGAGACGUAGGACAGGCCUUCAUAGUCGUGACCACCGCUUCUCACCCUUAUUUGAAGGCCAUACCUCCUGGAGCAGAUGACGGAUGCUGUCACAUGGGAUUCGCUAGUGGGGGAGAUGAUGAGCAAGGGCUUCUUGUUGGUGGUGGAGUCGAGGAAUCGAGCGUUUUCAGCGGAGAAUUGGAGGACUGUCUGGUAGGCAGCGGUGUUGGCAG
This 213-nucleotide unclassified non-coding RNA is filed under the name Hevea brasiliensis (rubber tree). Lineage: Eukaryota; Viridiplantae; Streptophyta; Magnoliopsida; Malpighiales; Euphorbiaceae. The record is from RNAcentral.